RNAcentral lists this long non-coding RNA (727 nucleotides) under Struthio camelus australis. Its description in RNAcentral is "lncRNA (ENSSCUG00000015167.1)". Lineage: Eukaryota; Metazoa; Chordata; Aves; Struthioniformes; Struthionidae. The record is from RNAcentral.
CUCAGUUUCUUCUGGUUCAAGGACCUGAGGCUGAAAAACAUAGCUGUUAUUGUCAUGAAAAUAAAAUCUCUGAGAGAAUGUGUGUCCCAGAGAUAGGAAUAGAAAUCCUAAUUAAGCAUGAGAAGGUUGAGUUGUAGGCUAAUUAUCUUUUCCAUCUGUUACUUAAUAGGGCUUUGUAACACUGGGAUUUAAGGUUUGUCAAUUUUUACUGUCUUUCACUCUAAACCUGGACAUCUCUGCCAAGGCUGACAAUGAAAUGAGCACAUUAAGAUAAUAAAUUUCCAGUAAACGGACUAAGUUAUUUAUUUUGGAUGAGCAAAGCUACAUGUAAAACUGGGGUGUGUUGUGGGUUGAUUGGUUACUGGAGGUGGGAGUGCUGUAAGAGUUGAAUGCUUUUAUAAUAAGCUUUAGUUGUGGGAACGUUUGAGCCUGGAACGUGAAAGAAUGCAGACCUUCCAAAAUAUGGGGAGCACGUGAUGGACAUGAUGACAGAGAUGCAGCACGGGGAGGGAAGCGAGCUCGCUCAGAAGCACGAAGGAGCAGGAGUCUCGGACCUAAGAGGUCCCACUUCUAUGUGAUCCUGGGGCUUCCAGCCUUUAUUGCACCAUCAUUCUGGAAGAAAAAAAUAAAGGAACAAGAAAGAGUGAAAAGACUAAGGAUCCUCUGCAGAAAUGUGUAGAGGGCAUUGCCUAACUGACCAACACUCAGCAAGCUGUAAAAAUAUGUG